GAGGCUAGAAAGUUUUAUGGAUAAACUAGGAUUAGAUACCCUAUUAUAUUAAAAUGAAAUUAAAUAUACUGGAUUAUUAGUAGAUAUUUUCUUUAAAUUUAAAGAAUUUGGCGGUAAUUUAGUCUAGUUAGAGGAACCUGUUUUUUGAUCGAUAUUCCACGUAUUAUCUUACUUGCUUAAUAUAAGUUUGUAUACCAUCAUUAGCAGAUAAUUUUAUAGAAGAAAGAAUUGUUAAAUAGAAUUUAUUAUAUAAAUUAGAUCAAGGUGCAGCUAAUAGGUAAGUUAAAAUGGGUUACAAUAAAAUUUAUUUAUACGGAAUAAAGAUCAUGAAGAUAGAGUUAUGAAGGAGGAUUUAAUUGUAAUAUGGGUUUAAUAAGCUAAGGUGAUAAGAGUUCUAAAUUAUGUACAUAUCGCC
RNAcentral lists this ribosomal RNA (415 nucleotides) under Sudanonautes tiko. RNAcentral's name for it is "partial 12S ribosomal RNA". The record is from RNAcentral. Lineage: Eukaryota; Metazoa; Arthropoda; Malacostraca; Decapoda; Potamonautidae.